RNAcentral lists this ribosomal RNA (460 nucleotides) under uncultured bacterium. Its description in RNAcentral is "partial 16S ribosomal RNA". It matches the Rfam family "Bacterial small subunit ribosomal RNA", at positions 338 to 795 of the family's 1533-position model. The record is from RNAcentral.
CCUACGGGAGGCAGCAGUGAGGAAUAUUGGUCAAUGGGCGAGAGCCUGAACCAGCCAAGCAGCGUGAAGGAUGAAUGCCCUACGGGUUGUAAACUUCUUUUAUAAAGGAAUAAAGUGAGGCACGUGUGCCUUUUUGUAUGUAGUUUAUUAAUAAGGAUCGGCUAACUCCGUGCCAGCAGCCGCGGUAAUACGGAGGAUCCGAGCGUUAUCCGGAUUUAUUGGGUUUAAAGGGAGCGUAGGUGGGUUGUUAAGUCAGUUGUGAAAGUUCGCGGCUCAACCGUAAAAGUGCAAUUGAUACUGGGAGACUUGAGUACAGUUGAGGUAGGCGGAAUUCGUGGUGUAGCGGUGAAAUGCAUAGAUAUCGCGAAGAACUCCGAUUGCGAAGGCAGCCUACUGAACUGCCACUGACGUUGAUGCACGAAAGUGUGGGGAUCGAACAGGAUUAGAUACCCGAGUAGUC